GUGAGGAAUAUUGGUCAAUGGACGAGAGUCUGAACCAGCCAAGUCGCGUGAAGGAAGACGGUUCUAUGAAUUGUAAACUUCUUUUGUGCAGGAAUAAAGUGGGUUACGUGUAACCUUUUGUAUGUACUGUACGAAUAAGGAUCGGCUAACUCCGUGCCAGCAGCCGCGGUAAUACGGAGGAUCCGAGCGUUAUCCGGAUUUAUUGGGUUUAAAGGGUGCGUAGGUGGAUUGAUAAGUCAGCGGUGAAAGUUUGCAGCUUAACUGUAAAAUUGCCGUUGAAACUGUCGGUCUUGAGUGCAAAUGAGGUAGGCGGAAUGUGUUGUGUAGCGGUGAAAUGCUUAGAUAUAACACAGAACUCCGAUUGCGAAGGCAGCUUACUGGGAUGCAACUGACACUGAUGCACGAAAGCGUGGGUAUCAAACAGGAUUAGACACCCCAGUAGUCC
RNAcentral lists this ribosomal RNA (445 nucleotides) under uncultured bacterium. RNAcentral describes it as "partial 16S ribosomal RNA". It matches the Rfam family "Bacterial small subunit ribosomal RNA", at positions 354 to 796 of the family's 1533-position model. The record is from RNAcentral.